AUUUCAGGAACCAUCGGCCGGGCACUCAUCUCCCGCGUGUGCUGGAAAAAACAAGUCGCGCUACUCCAUCUGCCAGACGUCUAGUGGUGAACUGGACAGGUACGCCAGUGAAGCAGCUGCAACCACAGUUAACAAGAUGGCGUCCGUGGCAGAAAAUUCAACCACUAGACGUGGAGUGAUGCCCGGCAUUGAGGAGACAUCUGCAUCUGUAGACCUAACAUCGGAGCCGCCUUCCGAGCUAAUGGGGAUCUUUCAAAGGUCCUAUCACGAGUCGUCUUUCGGUGAAAGCUCGACGCAAGGUGGUUGGGGCCACAGAGUACCGCCAGACCCGGCUGAUGAAGACACCUCAAUCUCCUUCCAGAGCUUUGAUGUGGAGGCUCAGGUUGCGGCCGCGGAACAACAGAAUGCCGGCAGCAGCUAGCCGUUUUUUUUUUUUGCACGUACCACACCGGUUCGAACAACCACUACAAAACGAGUUUAAUGUGGUAGUGGUUUAUUUGGCACUAGUCUACGCUGACGUAGCGCUUAGAACAAAAUUGACGUUCCGAAGGCAACGUUUACUUGCCCAACACAAUUUGUGGCUUAAGCAAGUUCGUUUGACUCAAAAAUAAAAUAAACAACUCAGACUGUUUGGAUAUGAGGUAAACCUUUGUUCGAUCCUAAUGGCACAGUUUUAUAGUUGUCAGUGCACAAGAUGCUAAAAGGUGUUUCUAUUUAGCAUGCUUUGAAAUUCACGAAAUUGUUGACUUUCGGCUGCAUCGUAUUAAAAAAAGUGUUUUUAACUGCUUCAUAAA
Long non-coding RNA from Rhipicephalus microplus (southern cattle tick), 794 nucleotides. The record is from RefSeq and is a predicted model, not a curated record. NCBI's taxonomy places the organism in Eukaryota, Metazoa, Arthropoda, Arachnida, Ixodida, Ixodidae.